This 253-nucleotide ribosomal RNA is filed under the name uncultured bacterium. RNAcentral's name for it is "partial 16S ribosomal RNA". It matches the Rfam family "Bacterial small subunit ribosomal RNA", at positions 524 to 776 of the family's 1533-position model. The record is from RNAcentral.
UACAGAGGGUGCGAGCGUUACUCGGAAUUACUGGGCGUAAAGCGUGCGUAGCCGGUUACGUAAGUCGGCUGUGAAAGCCCCGGGCUCAACCUGGGAAUUGCAUUCGAGACUGCGUAGCUAGGAUGCGGAAGAGGGAAGCGGAAUUUCCGGUGUAGCGGUGAAAUGCGUAGAUAUCGGAAGGAACACCAGUGGCGAAAGCGGCUUCCUGGUCCAGCAUCGACGUUCAGGCACGAAAGCGUGGGGAGCAAACAGG